This 348-nucleotide long non-coding RNA is filed under the name Androctonus crassicauda. The record is from RNAcentral. Lineage: Eukaryota; Metazoa; Arthropoda; Arachnida; Scorpiones; Buthidae.
AUAACAUGUUCAUUGCAUGGUUCUACAUGACUGGACUUGUCACAAUGUGACAACCUCUCUUUAUGCUUCUAUUUCCUCUUCUUUUUGCACUCUCCUUGCAGUCUCCUUCAUCAUCUUAGAUUUCCAUGUUUCUCCUAUACUCUUUCUCUUUACGUCUUCAAUUGUAUUCAAAUCAAUAUAUUCUCACUCCUUCUCCCCCCCACUCCUCUUGCAAGACAAUUUGAAAUGAUACUGUUGAUAGAUGUAUUUUAUUUCAAUGCACUAAGAAUUUUGUAAUAAGGGUUCCAUUACAUUCAGAAAAAUAGAUAAAAUUGCAUGAAUUACAUUGAAUACAGUGCAAAUACACAC